This 494-nucleotide ribosomal RNA is filed under the name uncultured bacterium. RNAcentral describes it as "bacterial SSU rRNA". It matches the Rfam family "Bacterial small subunit ribosomal RNA", at positions 28 to 482 of the family's 1533-position model. The record is from RNAcentral.
GACGAACGCUGGCGGCGUGCCUAAUACAUGCAAGUCGAGCGAGCUUGCCUAGAUGAAUUUGGUGCUUGCACCAGAUGAAACUAGAUACAAGCGAGCGGCGGACGGGUGAGUAACACGUGGGUAACCUGCCCAAGAGACUGGGAUAACACCUGGAAACAGAUGCUAAUACCGGAUAACAACACUAGACGCAUGUCUAGAGUUUAAAAGAUGGUUCUGCUAUCACUCUUGGAUGGACCUGCGGUGCAUUAGCUAGUUGGUAAGGUAACGGCUUACCAAGGCAAUGAUGCAUAGCCGAGUUGAGAGACUGAUCGGCCACAUUGGGACUGAGACACGGCCCAAACUCCUACGGGAGGCAGCAGUAGGGAAUCUUCCACAAUGGACGCAAGUCUGAUGGAGCAACGCCGCGUGAGUGAAGAAGGGUUUCGGCUCGUAAAGCUCUGUUGGUAGUGAAGAAAGAUAGAGGUAGUAACUGGUCUUUAUUUGACGGUAAUUAC